Long non-coding RNA from Cyprinus carpio carpio, 2329 nucleotides. The record is from Ensembl. Lineage: Eukaryota; Metazoa; Chordata; Actinopteri; Cypriniformes; Cyprinidae.
CACACAGAUAUAAGUAUAUUUGUUGCUAGCUAAGCAAUAACGUGCCUGUGUGAAGUUGAAAUUAAAAAUACUUACUGUUGUUUAUGCACAUGCACACAAACGACGCACACAUUCUUAAAGUUGUCAACGUUUUAAGUGUUGGUAAAGACCAAAUAUAUUUUUUUUUACUUACCGACACGGCAAACAUCUUCUUUUUUAGCGGUUGAAAAAACAAUACAAAUUAUCUUCUUAUCGAUGCUUCUUCUUCCUGUUUCAAAAUGAUUGAGAAUGUGACGUAUUUUGACAUGGGCGUGGUCUGUGACGUCACACUUGGAUGUGGGCCGGGUUGGAUGUCCACCGCAGGCUGCCAAGCGUGUACGUCUGCAGACUGCAAGAAAGGGGCGUAACUUGAAAGAGGCGUAACUUGAAGUAGGAGGCGUAACUUGAAGUUGUCGAAAUCUCACAGAAUCACGCGAGAUGUCAAAAUGAUAAGUUGUUGGCAAUAUGGCUGCUUUCAAUAGGGCACAGAGUAGAAUAUUGAUUACGUUUUUUAAGGGAAGCAGGGGUUUUAGGCAGGAUUUGAUGCAUAAGGUGUGUGUAGAUAUUAAUGCUAGGGGACAAUGUGAGUGAUGUGUACGUUUAGUAGGAAAACCUAUUAUCUGAUCCACACUCCGGGACAGAAGAGGGCGGUAUUGCACCAAUAAGCUGGAUGCCAACCGCCGUUAAACUGGAAAGCAGUUACAAUGAGUUACAAUGGAACAGAUUAUGUUUAUCUGCUGUAGAGUGACUGAAGAAGGAAUGCUGCCAUCAAAGGAUUUGUAUCUUUUGUGGUGGAGCAGGACCUGCAAGGAAAGGGGAAAAAAAGGAAAAACCUGAAACAAAAGAAUAAAGUAGUGGUGCUCAUGGAGAGCAGCACACGAUUGUUUGGAGCAGACACAGCAGCAAUCAGAUUGUCCUGCACGUGUUCUUCUGCUCUCGCUUCAAGGUAGUGUGGUUCAGAGAGCCGUCAUCAAGGUCUUCCUCAUCCUGUUGCUCAACGACAUCCCCGUUGAGAAGAGCGAGACUGAGAAGCACAGCGCAGCAGCAGAACUGUCUCAGCUGUGUUGAGAUGAUAGUAAGAUGUGGGGUUCACCGUCUGUAAAUACAUGAUUGUUAGAACAGUUAGUUUGAAAGAAGCUUUGUUUCAUGUGUUGUUGACUUGUACAUGUAUGCAUUUAUUGUGAUGCUAACAUUUAUACAUUCUUUUAAUCAUUUAGACAUGUUUCUUAUUGUCAGUAAAUAAAAUAUAAAUAUUUGAUCUAUUCAUGUAUUAAUUGCUUGACUGAAAACUGUUGUAUUCACAUCAACUGCAUUAGUGUAUAUUCAUGUAUAGCUAUGUCACGACAGAAAAUACAUUUUGCUUCUUUUACUAAAAUGUAAUUUUAAGGAAAAAAAUGUAUAUAAUUAUUGGUUGGCAUUUAUCAUUAUUAUUGCAUGUAAGUGUUGGGGUGGGCAAAAGAUGCAAUUCAUUAUGGGGUAAUGUUAAUUUUUGAGUAGUAAUACUUACAUUUUUAGAGUAUAAAAUCAACAAUCUUCUCCAAAGGUGAGAUCUUUGAGCAGCUGUUCGACGUUUCGUUUGUGCAGAUAUUGCAGAGUCGCUGAGAGAGACUGUACUGGACUGUUGAGUUAGUGAUGCUGUGAGGUGGUAGUGCACCUGUACCUCUUUUUUAUUAUUAUUGCCAAACUUAUUACAUAAAAGAUCAUGGUAAGACGGUUGUAUCUAACAAUAACAAUCUUAACGCCAUAAAACAGUAAAUAAAAAAAAUAACGUGUUCAUCAUAGUAUGAGAUACUAUACAAGAAAAAAAAUUCACAUAAAAUAAUUGAAAAAAUAUUCUAGAGAUAACGAUUUUGGGUUUUCUAAUUCUAUAAAAAAUCACAUUAGUGGAGUUAAAAAUAUAAAAACUUAAAUUAACAGUAUUGGCUAUACUACAAUCUUAAUUAUCAAGAUACAAAUACAUUCAUUAAACCUGUCACUCAUAUCUUUUAAGUUUUUACGCUCGUUUUAACUUUGUAGGUCACAUGAUCAACAUAGCGUAUGAUGAUAUCCAAAUCGCAUUAAUGCUUCAUACACAAAUACGCAUUCAGGCUGUAGAGUAUGUACUCUUUUAUCGCUCGUUAAAUUAGUUCUUAUUGAAAUUAAGUGCCUAAUUAAAGGGUAUGCGGUUUCGAAUGCAGCCCGACAAAAUCUCGUUUUGACAUCUCGCGUGGUUCUGUGUGAUUUGGACAACUUCAAGUUACGCCUCUUUCGUCAAGUUACGCCCACUUCAAGUUACGCCCCUGUCUUGCAGUCUGCAGACAGACCCUUCUCC